ACCAAGCGGUGGAGUAUGUGGUUUAAUUCGAUGCAACGCGAAGAACCUUACCUGGUCUUGACAUCCCGGAGACCCUUAGGAAACUAGGGGGUGCUUCCAUCUGGAAGAAUCUGGAGACAGGUGCUGCAUGGCUGUCGUCAGCUCGUGUCGUGAGAUGUUGGGUUAAGUCCCGCAACGAGCGCAACCCUUGCCUUUAGUUGCCAGCAGUUCGGCUGGGCACUCUAAAGGGACUGCCGGUGUUAAACCGGAGGAAGGUGGGGAUGACGUCAAGUCCUCAUGGCCUUUAUGACCAGGGCUACACACGUACUACAAUGGCCGAUACAAAGGGCAGCGACACUGCGAGGUGAAGCCAAUCCCGUAAAAUCGGUCUCAGUCCGGAUUGGAGUCUGCAACUCGACUCCAUGAAGUUGGAAUCGCUAGUAAUCGUGGAUCAGCAUGCCACGGUGAAUACGUUCCCGGGCCUU
RNAcentral lists this ribosomal RNA (464 nucleotides) under uncultured Desulfobulbus sp. RNAcentral's name for it is "bacterial SSU rRNA". It matches the Rfam family "Bacterial small subunit ribosomal RNA", at positions 925 to 1382 of the family's 1533-position model. The record is from RNAcentral. Lineage: Bacteria; Pseudomonadati; Thermodesulfobacteriota; Desulfobulbia; Desulfobulbales; Desulfobulbaceae.